CAAACAGCAGUGUGAGCAUUAAACACCAGACACAUAAGAAUAAUUACUUGAGGAGUAGAUUAUCAAUGUCCUCCAUCACUACCUCUGCUUCAUUAUCAACAUUGCCCUUAUCAAGUAGCCCAUCUUCAGCUCUGUCCUCACCAACUACUGCCACAACAUCCUCAACUACUUCAACAUCCAUGACAUCUUCCCUAAAAUUUAAAACAAAAUAUUUACAUUCAGUGUCUAUUUACACUAAUGUUCGCAUGGGAAUUCUACGACAUUCACUAUCUAGUCCUUAAUUAAAAAUAUUUCUCUAUACAAAAGUCCUGGCACUUUAUUUCCUUCAGCGGAAGUGUACCAUAUAACAUGUUAAUAUAGCUGUUCCAUGUACGUUUCAUAUCCCUGAUUGAGAACAUAUAUAAUUACUUUAGGUCUUACGCAAGGAAAUAGCCAAUCAAACUGAACUUAGUCAAUAGUAGUUCCAUAUAUAUAGAGACAAUUUCUUUUCUUUCUUCCUUUUUUGGCGCCUUAUUUUAGGCCUAUAGUAUUGAUUUUGGACUCAGUGGCUAGGAGAAUUAUUACUUUAGGGGAAUUGUCACACUAAUUUCAGUGGAACUAUUUUUUUAGAUGCGCAUGAUGCAACUUCCUGGAUGGUGCUGAGCCUGUUUGUCAACAUGUGGAACCCACGUGUAUUUGGGGGAGUUGUCUCCCUUGUUAAAGAUCAACAAUGUCGGAUAAACAAUGCGGGAUGCUGUCUUGUCACCAACGGUGAAAUUUGGCACCUGUGUACCCGUAUUUCAACCAAUCGUCUCAGUCCUCUUUGUUGUGUACACCAGACAGAUGAUGGACCACUCUACUUCCUUUUACAACAGGUGCCCCUACAGAUUCACAAAGUUCCAAUGUUGAAUUUCCAUGACCCCGAUUGAUCCGCGACAGGAGAAGGAAUGAAGUUGGCAGGACUUUCCGCACUGUCCUUGGUAGCAGCUGAUGAUGGAACGGACAGCGGUUGACAUGGCCCGUUUCAUCAAAGUUGCACCGGAAGCAGCAGCACUAUCUCCAUCACUGGUGAAAUGGGAAAUGAUGAGUGGACGGUCAUCACUUUGCAGCUCACUGAUGCAUUCCGCAGCCCAUCUCUUUUCGUCUCCAAUGGUGGUCUCUGGAGGAAUGGUUGCAGUGCAGCCUUCAUGUCCGGGGCAGGUCUGAUGAAUGUUGGUGGCUGAUGCUGGUUCGAUGUUUGCGCCAAGAAGCAUACCACGCAUACCCUCUGUUGUAAGGCUGGUACCGAAGUGACC
Molecule: long non-coding RNA, 1274 nt
Organism: Magallana angulata
Lineage: Eukaryota; Metazoa; Mollusca; Bivalvia; Ostreida; Ostreidae
Exons: 6
Source: RefSeq, a predicted model, not a curated record